This 433-nucleotide ribosomal RNA is filed under the name uncultured bacterium. Its description in RNAcentral is "partial 16S ribosomal RNA". It matches the Rfam family "Bacterial small subunit ribosomal RNA", at positions 29 to 507 of the family's 1533-position model. The record is from RNAcentral.
AACGAACGCUGGCGGCAUGCCUAACACAUGCAAGUCGAACGAGACCUUCGGGUCUAGUUGCGCACGGGUGCUUAACGCGUGGUAAUCUACCCUCAGGUUCGGAAUAACUCAGAGAAAUUUGAGCUAAUACCGGUUGAUGACGUAAGUCCAAAGAUUUAUCGCCUGAGGAUGGGCCCGCGUAGGAUUAGGUAGUUGGUGAGGUAAAGGCUCACCAAGCCGACGAUCCUUAGCUGGUCUGAGAGGAGGAUAAGCCACACUGGGAAUGAGACACGGCCCAGACUGCUACGCAAGGCAGCAGUGGGGAAUAUUAGACAAUGGGCGAAAGCCUGAUAAAGCCAUGCGGGGUGAGUGAUGAAGGGCUUAGGGUUGUAAAGCUCUUUUACACGGGAUGAUAAUGACAGUAACGGGAGAAUAAGCACCGGCUAACUACGUG